This is a long non-coding RNA of Cotesia glomerata, 118 nucleotides long. RefSeq lists it as uncharacterized. The transcript is spliced from 2 exons. The record is from RefSeq and is a predicted model, not a curated record. Lineage: Eukaryota; Metazoa; Arthropoda; Insecta; Hymenoptera; Braconidae.
AAUAUUUUGUAAAUAUAAAAAUAAUCAUUAUAAAAUUGAACGGUUAUAUCAAAGAACGAAUUAUUAGAAGAAAAAAUUGCUAAGCAAUUAAAAAAAUAAAAAAGAGUUACAAGCUAGU